AUAGCUACGGCGGUACGUAUUCUAAAAUUGAAAUGAUACAGAGAAGAUUAGCAUGGCCCCUGCGUAAGGAUGACACGCAAAUUCGUGAAGCAUUCCAUAUUUCU
This 104-nucleotide small nuclear RNA is filed under the name Octopus bimaculoides (California two-spot octopus). The record is from RNAcentral. Lineage: Eukaryota; Metazoa; Mollusca; Cephalopoda; Octopoda; Octopodidae.